AUGCAAGUCGCGUGCGCGUAGCAAUAUGGCGCACGGCGCACGGGUGCGUAACACGUGGGCAAUCUGCCCUCCGAUGGGGAAUAACCCCGCGAAAGCGGGGCUAAUACCGCAUAACAUUCCUUUGGCUGCGGCCGGGGGAUUCAAAGCAGUGAUGCGUCGGAGGAGGAGCCCGCGCCCGAUUAGGUAGUUGGUGAGGUAACGGCUCACCAAGCCAAUGAUCGGUAGCUGGUCUGAGAGGAUGAUCAGCCACACUGGAACUGAGACACGGUCCAGACUCCUACGGGAGGCAGCAGUGGGGAAUCUUGCGCAAUGGGCGAAAGCCUGACGCAGCGACGCCGCGUGGGGGAUGAAGCUUCUCGGAGUGUAAACCCCUUUCGACUGGGACGAAUGCCCGCAAGGGAGUGACGGUACCAGUAGAAGAAGCCCCGGCUAACUACGUGCCAGCAGCCGCGGUAAGACGUAGGGGGCCAGCGUUGUUCGGAAUUACUGGGUGUAAAGGGUUCGUANGCGGUGUGGCAAGUUGGGAGUGAAAUCUCUGGGCUCAACUCAGAGGCUGCUUCCAAAACUGCUGUGCUU
RNAcentral lists this ribosomal RNA (576 nucleotides) under uncultured bacterium. RNAcentral describes it as "bacterial SSU rRNA". It matches the Rfam family "Bacterial small subunit ribosomal RNA", at positions 55 to 643 of the family's 1533-position model. The record is from RNAcentral.